Molecule: ribosomal RNA, 253 nt
Filed under: uncultured bacterium
Lineage: Bacteria
Description: partial 16S ribosomal RNA
Rfam family: Bacterial small subunit ribosomal RNA
Source: RNAcentral
UACAGAGGGUGCGAGCGUUAAUCGGAAUUACUGGGCGUAAAGCGCACGUAGGUGGCGACGUAAGUCGGGUGUGAAAGCCCCGGGCUCAACCUGGGAAUUGCAUUCGAGACUGCAUUGCUGGAGUACGGAAGAGGAAGGCGGAAUUCCCGGUGUAGCGGUGAAAUGCGUAGAGAUCGGGAGGAACAUCAGUGGCGAAGGCGGCCGCCUGGACCAGCACUGACACUGAGGCACGAAAGCGUGGGGAGCAAACAGG